AUGAACGCUGGCGGCGUGCCUCAUACCUGCCAGUCGAGCGCACAGACGAGGAGCUUGCUCCUCUGACGUUAGCGGCGGCCGGGUGAGUAACACGUGGAUAACCUACCUAUAAGACUGGGAUAACUUUGGGAAACCGGAGCUAAUACCGGAUAAUAUAUUGAACCGCAUGGUUCAAUAGUGAAAGACGGUUUUGCUGUCACUUAUAGAUGGAUCCGCGCCGCAUUAGCUAGUUGGUAAGGUAACGGCUUACCAAGGCGACGAUGCGUAGCCGACCUGAGAGGGUGAUCGGCCACACUGGAACUGAGACACGGUCCAGACUCCUACGGGAGGCAGCAGUAGGGAAUCUUCCGCAAUGGGCGAAAGCCUGACGGAGCAACGCCGCGUGAGUGAUGAAGGUCUUCGGAUCGUAAAACUCUGUUAUUAGGGAAGAACAAAUGUGUAAGUAACUAUGCACGUCUUGACGGUACCUAAUCAGAAAGCCACGGCUAACUACGUG
This 496-nucleotide ribosomal RNA is filed under the name uncultured bacterium. RNAcentral describes it as "partial 16S ribosomal RNA". It matches the Rfam family "Bacterial small subunit ribosomal RNA", at positions 29 to 507 of the family's 1533-position model. The record is from RNAcentral.